This 274-nucleotide ribosomal RNA is filed under the name uncultured bacterium. Its description in RNAcentral is "partial 16S ribosomal RNA". It matches the Rfam family "Bacterial small subunit ribosomal RNA", at positions 523 to 796 of the family's 1533-position model. The record is from RNAcentral.
AUACGAAGGGUGCGAGCGUUAAUCGGAAUUACUGGGCGUAAAGCGCGCGUAGGCGGUUGGAUAAGUCGGAUGUGAAAGCCCCGGGCUCAACCUGGGAAUUGCAUUCGAAACUGUCCGGCUAGAGUAUGGUAGAGGGAAGCGGAAUUCCACAUGUAGCGGUGAAAUGCGUAGAUAUGUGGGGGAACACCAGUGGCGAAGGCGGCUUCCUGGACCAAUACUGACGCUGAGGUGCGAAAGCGUGGGGAGCAAACAGGAUUAGAUACCCUAGUAGUCC